UUAAUUCAUUAAAUUAAAAAAAUUUGGCUGUGUUUUUUAAUAUUAGAGGAAUUUGUAGUUUAAUUGAUAAUACACGAUAAUAUAAACUUUUUAAUUUAUGUAUUGCUGUUAAAAAAUUUAUUAAAUAAAUUUUAAAUAUUUAAAUUAAAAAUAAUUCAAGUCAAAAUGUAGUAUUUUAAAGAUAUGAAUUACAAUUUGUUUAUUAAAUUGGAUUUAAUAGUAA
Molecule: ribosomal RNA, 223 nt
Filed under: Mischocyttarus sp. 1 MDS-2020
Lineage: Eukaryota; Metazoa; Arthropoda; Insecta; Hymenoptera; Vespidae
Description: partial small subunit ribosomal RNA
Source: RNAcentral